UACGGAGGGUGCAAGCGUUAUCCGGAUUCACUGGGUUUAAAGGGUGCGUAGGUGGGUUGGUAAGUCAGUGGUGAAAUCUCCGAGCUUAACUUGGAAACUGCCAUUGAUACUAUCAGUCUUGAAUAUUGUGGAGGUCAGCGGAAUAUGUCAUGUAGCGGUGAAAUGCUUAGAUAUGACAUAGAACACCAAUUGCGAAGGCAGCUGGCUACGCAUAUAUUGACACUGAGGCACGAAAGCGUGGGGAUCAAACAGG
Molecule: ribosomal RNA, 253 nt
Filed under: uncultured bacterium
Lineage: Bacteria
Also listed under: 1 other name
Description: partial 16S ribosomal RNA
Rfam family: Bacterial small subunit ribosomal RNA
Source: RNAcentral